Molecule: non-coding RNA, 2725 nt
Organism: Varroa destructor (honeybee mite)
Lineage: Eukaryota; Metazoa; Arthropoda; Arachnida; Mesostigmata; Varroidae
Source: RefSeq, a predicted model, not a curated record
UCCGACAUCUCGCCUAAGUUUCGAACAUGGAAAACAGCAAACAGCCUACCCGUCGAUUUGCUUGAUAAGCUAGGAGCAAUUUCAACAUGAUCCGUUGCUGUGAGUGGAUAUGUUGGUUCCUGUGUGGGAGGAGCCGUAAAGCGUCACAGAUAAAGAAAGACAUAAGAAAGAUCAACAGCGUCAUGUUAGAACUCAGCUGUAGGCUUGAGACGCUUGAGCAAACCCGCAAGUGCCAGGAGAUCGUUGUCAACAUGUACACAAGACAGCUUGUUAUAAUUGAAAGGUGAGCUUGUAGGCUUUCAAUUAGCGCUCGGUUAUAUUGCUCAAGUCGUGAACUCUCAGAAAUACCAGAAAAAUCUUUUUUUUAAUAAUAAUGAUAUAAAUAAUAGUGAAACAUCUAAAAAUAUAUUUCGCCGUUUGGCCUUCUUCUGAUGCAGGUUUAUAUUACGUUUCGUGCUUUCACGCCUGUAGAAGCGCCUGUAGAAGAACUACGGUUGCUCUAAACACUAAACAAACUUCAACUCAUUUAGUUGUGUAACAAUAGGAAGCGGCUUCAGAUUCGUUCUUCUUUCGCUAGCGAUACUUCCAUUUUCUUCUAACUGGUAUCUAUCGUAACGAAAUUUCACUUGAGAUUUUAGGAUCAAUUAUUUGAACAGUGUUUCUAAACGGUUCAUCUCGUCGAGGAAUAAUUGAUAGAAAUAAAAAGGUCUUAGGAUCAAACACCUUUAUCCGGUUGGACGUAAGUAUGUAGAACAUACAUAAAAUUUGAUUUGAACUACUCUGUUCUUAAGUUAAACAGUAAAUCUUCUUUGUUUUCGUUUCGUUAUGAAGUGUGCUAUACCGUUGGAAUGGUUUUCUGGCUGUACAAGGCCGUUAUCACUGUUGUGGUAGGACCACAAGAUUUUACUCAUAAUUUUGGGUAUAGGGAUGCGUAUGCUGGGCGAAAAAGAAGUGAAUUUUACAGAUUCCAAACUGCCAAGUGACCCAAGAUAUUUUACACCCUGCAAUGAAGAUCCUGUGAGUAAGAGAUAUUGGCUCAUCUAACAAUUAUCUUUUUUCAAAGUGGUUUGCGGCGAUCCUCGUCGAAGACGAGUGAAGCACGUUCUUUAGGCCCAUAAGACCAUUUAUACAAAUAACUUUUUUCACUCACACAGGUUGUGUGGUAUGUUUCAUUGACGAGACUUGAAGCAGCGACUUCUGAUCUCUUCCCGGAGCCUUGACCGUCUAAGCCUCCGCAUCGACAGCAACUUAUGGACCCAGUUAGCCAUUUCUGGGUAAUAUUGUCAGCUGUAUAGACCUCGUGGUAUAUGGCACACCUGUCUCAACUUCUUUCGGUAACUUUCUCAUCUAGGAGAAGGACGAAUGAGAAGUGAUGCCAACGAGAUUUACCACCUUACACACCUACCUCUACCAGCCCGAAGUCAGACUAAAAUGAUGUCUGGACUAAAAUGUCCGUGACCCGAACAGAAUAUAUAUUAGUAUUCUGGUAGCACCAUCGGACAGCUCGGAAGCUAUUAAAGCAGAUACGACCUAUACACCAUAAGUUAUAAUGUAAAACCUUAUAGGCGCAUUUUUUAUAAUUAGAUUAAUGCAAUGAAAAAAUCUAAAGUCUAACAAAAAAAAAAAAGCUAAAGCAACACAAAAUUUAUGAAAGGGUAGCCUAAGCAAUUCUUUUUUACAGGCUUCAUAGUGCCCAAAACGAAUAAAAGCUAAGAUAUAAUUAUUAAUGCGAACAUUCAUUUCUACAGCUCUAUAUACAGCAUUACUAUGUUAUUUUGUUUGUCUGUCUGUUAGAACUACAUCUUUGAUAUAUGACUUAUGCGCUCUGAAACAAAUCGUCUUUUAUUAAGUAUUGAGGGUUCCCAGGGAAAAUUUUAUAUACUUUGCUAUAAUGGAUCUCGUCUUCACCCUUGAGCUUGCCUGAAAUGCCUAUAUUUAGGAGAAGGUCAGCAAAAGAUAUUCAGCUGACAAAGGCUACGAGCAAUCAAUGUCUGGAUUAACGGAACAGAAACGACGAAUAUGCGAUGCGUAUAAGAAGGCGAAAAGCGAAUUAGAUGAAAUCGUCAGCAAGCAAAUAAGUACGAAAAAAGAGUAUGACACUAGUCAGCAGGAGGUGGCUAACCUCGCUGACCUCCUGCAGCACCUUCAGGCGGAGCCAACAACGGGUGCUCAGUAGAAGUUUUUGCGGAGUCCGAUUGUCGGUAACAUUGUGAAGAGACUUCCUACCAAGCCUAACAGAAACCUGGAGACAGAGGCAACAAAAUUAACGAAUAUUUAGGUGUCGUGCCUUUUUGUGCACAAAAUAAAUCCCGGUGGUCCGUCUCACUUAUUUUGAAAGCGGGUUGUGUGCAGUGAUGGGUAGAAUGGCGAGUGAUUUGUUCAAGCUUUGGAAAACGAAAAUGCUCCUAGAUAUUCUACGAACAUAUGCCGUAACAGCUGUAACCUUGUAUUUAAAAUAUAUGGACGAUUUUGAACUCACACAGGGCAAUUGUAUUGCCUAAAAUACUCUGCAAGUUCAGUCUAUUAUAGACCUGUAAUAAUUUGUUAUUGCCUGCUAUUACUUUUAUACUUCGACGACGAAACCAAAGAGCUGUCAAGUGCAGCAUGUUUAAGACCAUCAAACGAAAUAAACAGAUAUGAGUAGGAUAAAAAAAUAAAAGGAUGCUACAUAUAUGUAAACAUAUUUUCCAAAGAACGCAAUAAUUAAUAAAUGCUUGAUAGAGUA